CAGUUUGCAGCAUCACAGAAAAUGAUGCUCUCUCCUGCCAAGUCCCAUUUUUUGGGAGGAGGAAAUGGAUUAGGUCCUGGAGGUUGUCAUAAAUGCAUCAAGUGACUUUCUCAGCAUCAUCUGAAACAUGCAGCCAUCCAGCCCAGAACACAACAAGAAUAGAGUUGAUGAGCCCUCUUCUCCUCAACAAACACCUGUGAAAAAUGGGCCAAUUCACAGCUGCAAUGGUUGGGAGAAUUUCCUGUCUGGGAGUCUGGAAACUGCCAAGAGUGGAAAGCUGCAGCCAGCCAGCGAGGCCUCUGUUGUCACUGGCCCAAACAACAACAAAAACAACCGCAACAACAACAACAACAACAAAACAUGCCACGUGUGCACUGGCAUAUACAAACACGCCCACAGAACCAAACCAAGCGGACAAGGCUUCAAGGAGAGCUUCUGGGCGGCUCAUUCCCGCGGCGAGGCAUAUCCCUUGGCAUGGUGCCACUGCAGCCCAGCUCCCAGCCCCCCCGCCAUCUGUCAUCAGCGCUCUGCCUACUGUGGCAUUUCCCUCUUUGCUCGGCACCUCUCCCUAUUGCCGCCAUAUGAAAAAGGAGGUGUUUGCUUCCCCUUCCACCAUGAUUGUAAGUUUCCUGAGGCCUCCCGAGCCAUGCUGAACUGUGAGUUAAUAAAACCUCUUUCCUUUAUAAAUUA
RNAcentral lists this long non-coding RNA (690 nucleotides) under Homo sapiens (human). Its description in RNAcentral is "non-protein coding LINC01505:8". The record is from RNAcentral. Lineage: Eukaryota; Metazoa; Chordata; Mammalia; Primates; Hominidae.